ACUCUGCCUCGUGCAGAGAGUGGGAGGCCGGGAAGUUGUUCAAACUUGAUCAUUUAGAGGAAGUAAAAGUCGUAACAAGGUUUCCGUAGGUGAACCUGCGGAAGGAUCAUUACCGAGUAGCUACCUACCUCCGCUGGCCGCGAGUCAGUGAAUGAGUGGGGUGUUUACUACCGUGUGAACCGACUGAAAAAUUUUUUAGGGGUCGGCUCGUUCCGUUAAAAGGGGAGCACCGUGAUGAGCCACCAGCUGGCUGGCUGGCUGGUGAGCCUCGCGGUGGGCUCCUGCCCCGACAGUGUUUUUUAAAAGGACACAUUUGAUGUAAAAGACUGAGCGCAGUGAGAGAGAUAUGUUCUAACAUAGAAAAAUGAAAGUGUGACAACUUUUGACGGUGGAUCUCUAGGCUCACGCAUCGAUGAAGAACGCAGCCAGCUGCGAUAAGUAGUGUGAAUUGCAGAAUUCAGUGAAUCAUCGAAUCUU
RNAcentral lists this unclassified non-coding RNA (477 nucleotides) under Stylophora wellsi. RNAcentral's name for it is "sequence contains ITS1". The stretch from base 378 to 477 matches the Rfam family "5.8S ribosomal RNA", at positions 1 to 100 of the family's 154-position model. Lineage: Eukaryota; Metazoa; Cnidaria; Anthozoa; Scleractinia; Pocilloporidae. RNAcentral also lists the same sequence under 1 other name. The record is from RNAcentral.